This 244-nucleotide ribosomal RNA is filed under the name uncultured bacterium. RNAcentral's name for it is "partial small subunit ribosomal RNA". It matches the Rfam family "Bacterial small subunit ribosomal RNA", at positions 26 to 284 of the family's 1533-position model. The record is from RNAcentral.
AGAAUCAACGCUGGCGGCGUGCCUAACACAUGCAAGUCGAACGAGAAAGUGGAGCAAUCCAUUAGUAAAGUGGCGCACGGGUGAGUAACACGUGACUAACCUACCCUUGAGUGGGGGAUAACCUAGAGAAAUCUGGGCUAAUACCGCAUAAUACCUUCGGGUCAAAGGAGCAAUUCGCUUAAGGAGGGGGUCGCGGCCGAUUAGUUAGUUGGCGGGGUAAUGGCCCACCAAGACUAUGAUCGUA